CAAAAGCUUGGUCCUGGCUUUACUAACAACUAUAGCCAAAUUUACACAUGCAAGUAUCUGCGCCCCAGUGAGAAUGCCCUAUUCGCCCCGCCCGGGAAUUAGGAGCUGGUAUCAGGCACACCCUGUAGCCCACGACACCUUGCUCAGCCACACCCCCAAGGGAAUCCAGCAGUGAUAAACAUUAGGCCAUAUGUGAAAACCUGACCCAGUUAUGGCUUUAAGGGCCGGUAAAACUCGUGCCAGCCACCGCGGUUAUACGAGAGGCCCAAGUUGUUAGUCCCCGGCGUAAAGGGUGGUUAAAGCAUUUAAAAUUACUGAGGCCAAACAUUCUCAAGGCAGUUAUACGCUUCCGAGAACAUGAGGACCAACCACGAAAGUAGCCUCACUCAACUUGAACCCACGAAAGCUAGGGCACAAACUGGGAUUAGAUACCCCACUAUGCCUAGCCGUAAACAAAGACCCACUACACACGUCCGCCCGGGUACUACGAGCAUUAGCUUAAAACCCAAAGGACUUGGCGGUGCUUUAACCCCCACUAGAGGAGCCUGUUCUAGAACCGAUAAUCCCCGUUAAACCUUACCCCUUCUUGUUCAACCCGCCUAUAUACCUCCGUCGUCAGCCCACCCUGCAAGGGAUUAAUAGUAGGCACAAUUGGCACAGCCCAACACGUCAGGUCGAGGUGUAGCGUAUGAAGGGGAAAGAAUGGGCUACAUUCUCUCUCCAGAGAAUUACGAAUGGCACAAUGAAACUUGUGAUCUGAAGGAGGAUUUAGCAGUAAGCAAAGAAAUAGAGUGUCUAGCUGAAACCGGCUAUUAAGCACGCACACACCGCCCGUCAUUCUCCCCAAACACAACCAAUCAAUAACUAAUACAAUUUCGAACACGAAGGGGAGGCAAGUCGUAACAUGGUAAGUGUACCGGAAGGUGCACUUGGAAUAU
RNAcentral lists this non-coding RNA (938 nucleotides) under Leiodon cutcutia (ocellated pufferfish). Its description in RNAcentral is "12S ribosomal RNA". It matches the Rfam family "Bacterial small subunit ribosomal RNA". The record is from RNAcentral. Lineage: Eukaryota; Metazoa; Chordata; Actinopteri; Tetraodontiformes; Tetraodontidae.